UCAUAUGUUUCUGCUGUUGCGUCAACAUCAUUGGCUCAUUGCAUCUGUUAACUUGGAUUAUAGCUUGCAUUUAAUAUGUUUGAUGAAAUUGCUGAGAUGCUCCUGUUCUGUCAAUUAUGCCUAUACACAUUAUAUUGUACAAUGUUAUUCAUUUUAUAGCAUGCCUUGGCUCUAGGCUCGCCCUUUGCAGCUUGAAUUUCCUAAUGGGGCCUUAGUUCAAGCCUAUCCCAUAGGCGUCCGUGUCUUUAAUUGUAUAGGAACUGAUUUAUGCAAUCAAGUCUUAAUGGUGAGUCAAGGAUUUGAAGUUGGUAUUAGUACUUCAUAUUUUGGGGAUAAAUGUCAUCGUAUAUUAUCUUGACAUUGGCUUACAGAGGUGAAGUCUCUACUAAUCAAGUUGUUGGUGUUUGCGUCCUUUCUAUUUUCAGCGGUUUUUAACAAGGAAGAUGACAUUGGCACAUUCACCAUCAAAGCAGUGGAUGACCCAAGGACCUUGAAGAAGAUCCUCUACAUCAGACCCCCAAGCAACACUCUCUCAUUCAAUGAACUUGUCACUUUAUGGGAGAAGAAGAUUGGGAAAACCCUGGAAAAGAACUAUGUCCCAGAGGAAGAAGUUCUGAAAAACAUUCAAGGUUAGUAAAGUACUAAAGUAUAAUUUGAAGUUUGAAAACAAUAUUAUUCCUUUGGAAUGAUGAUUGUUAGAUCAAGGAAUCAAAGUCUCCGUAGCUAAGUAAUCUGAUACAUUCAUUUGUUUUCGCAGAGGCCCCAAUUCCAGUGAACAUUUUCUUGUCAAUUGGUCACUCAGUUUUUGUAAAGGGAGACCAAACAAACUUCGACAUUGAACCUUCAUUUGGAGUUGAAGCUUCUGAGCUUUAUCCUGACGUGAAGUACACAACUGUCGAUGAAUACCUUAAUCAGUUUGUCUGAUCUGCCUGUUGCGUCUAUAUUUCAAGUGAUCGUCUUGUUUGACCCUUUUGAUUAUUACAAAUAAUUGUAUAAAUAAGAAAUCAGUGUUUUAAGGGGCUGUAAACGAGUAAUUAUGGUGCUAUUCCACUUGGAUGGUUCCAGUUUCAACAUUUGGUAUGGAACUAGAUUUGAUACAGAGUGCAGAUUCAGCUGUGAUGUUUAAUAAUCAAUACUACAAUGUUUGGUGCUUCUACUUUAGUGCUGAAGGGCUAUUAUGACAAACACUCAAAUGCCAAAACCUGAUUAUAAACUUACAUGUCUUGCACUUAGCCAUUUUAAAAUCCAUUUUAUUUAUUAUUUAUUAUUAUUAUAAAAAAAAAUCUGUUGCUGAGUUGGUCCAUUGUAGUGGGAUACUCUGGUCUCUGGGAGUCUGGGAUAGUGACAGAUGCACUGACACUAACAUUCAGAUAUACGCACUAUCUUUUUACUUGGUGUAUUUUUUGAGCAAAGAAUGGUAUUAACAAUAUAGUCUGAAGUUCUGAACUCUGAAGUCUGAACCAUAAAACAUACAUCGAUAGCGCUCACGCUCCAGGUGUAAAGUUGCAGGAUAUAUUAUGAAGUAAAACUAAAACUGCUGUUUACUAUCUACUAAAAGAUCGAUAUCAGAUUACAAUUUCAGGUGUAAAGUUGCAGGAUAUAUAUAUGAAGUAAACAAAAAAUUCAAAUUUUAUUAGAAGUACCAAAGUCAUUACAAACUAGUUCCCUAGAAUAUAUAAAAAGUCGGAAUGCUUAUCAACCUUCCCCGACUAGGUGCACUCCAUCACCUCGAACUAUAGCAAAAACCACGCCUUCCCUCAGGUGCCUUGGCUGGGCCGCGAGCUAUCAUCUGGGUCAGCAUGCUAGCUCUACUGGCUCAGGUCUUAAGCUCUUACACACAUAGUAAAUUCAGUAAAAUAAAGUUCCUUUUGCAUUGCAAUUAGGGGUGUUAUGUGAGCUGAGCAGCUCGAGCUCGGCUCGUGUUCGGCUCGAAAAAAGCUCGGCUCGGGCUCGCUCAUUUUGUAAAACGAGCCGAGCUUGAGCAGAUUUUAGGCUCGUCUCGAGCUCGAGCCGAGCCCGAGCUUUAUUCGAGCCGAGCCGAGUAGCUCGAGUUUAUAUAGUUAUUUCUAUCCUACCCACACUAAUAUCUGUUAUUCCUAUCCUACCCCCACUAUAUAUAACAUAAGAACAUAAGUUUCUGCUGGAAACCUAGCCGUCUGCCCGUCUCCUCUUCUUCUCUAACUCAAUCUUCAUCUCCAGUUCGGCAGUUCAUUGGUGGUAGGCUUCGUUAGUUCGUUGUUAAGAAAAAAAGAUUGAAGAAAGUUGGAAUUAGAGCUGAUAAUUUGCUAAACUUUUUGUUUGAAAUUUUAAUUUUAAUUCUGAAAAUAUGAAUACCAUUAAUUCUGAAAUCAUUCGAACUUGUUGUUGUCAUCAUGAAUCACAAAAUCUUCAAUCCUAGCAGAAAGUUGCUUAGCCAAAUUGACCACUUGUUCCGCCUCCCGAGCAAUUUUAUCUUGUUCUUUUAAUGCUUUUUUCAAACUACGCUUAUGCUCUUUCAGUGAAAACUUGAUCAAAUCAGAUCCAAAUGAAUCAAAGUCAUCAACUCGACGACUCAUGUCUUUCUUCUUUUUCUUCUUAGUUUUUGAUACUUUUUUAGAACUGGGAGAACAGAAAAAGCACAAAGGGGUCUGACGAGGAGAAGGGGUUAAGGAUGAAUCCUUUUCUUCUUCAUCUGAAGAAGAAGAAGAGAGAUACCUACCAGCACCACCAUUACCAUCAACAUUUUUGGGUUUGGGAGUUGGCUUGAAAACCUCUUCUUCUUCAUCAUCAUCUUCCCAAUUUGGGGAUGAAAUGGGAAUUGAAGUUGUGGGUAAGUCUUUAAUUUGAGAAUUGAGUUGGGUAGAAAGUGGGGUAUUAUGGCUUUUCAGAUUAGUUUGUGGGAAAGAUUUAAGUUUUCUAAACCUGGUUUCAAGAUCAAUGGGAAGAUCAGUUGUAGUAACUCCAGAGAGAUUAAUAGAUGAAAUUUGUUCAAGAACAUGAAGAUCCAUUGCUUGAGAGAUUAUCUCUUCAACUGCUGAAGAAUCAGAAUCAAAACAAUCAUGCAAACGAGCUCGAGCUCGAGCCUAAACGAGCUUGGAGGGUUCGAGCUUGAUUCGAGCUAAACGAGCUUGGAGGGCUCGAGCUCGGCUCGAGCUAAACAAGCCUAACGAGCUCGAGCUCGAGCUUGGUAAAUAGCUCACGAGCCGAGCUUGAACAUAAAACCAGGCUCGAUUCAGAAAUUGGGCUCGGGCUCGGGCUCGGCUCGUAUUAAAACGAGCCGAGUAGGAGCAUUCAAAGCUGGGCUCGCUCGGCUCGAAUAACACCCCUAAUUGCAAUACAGACUGCUCUUGAAGUCUCUAGCUUGGGCCUCUCUUGAUCUGGUUUCUUUUAUGAAUCGGACUGGAAAUCAUGAUUCUAGAACAUUGUAAGUGUUAUAUUACUGAUAUAACACGUGGCACAUAUGUCAUAGGAGCCACCAAAAAUUGUUCAAUUGGCCAUUAAUUUAGUUUCCAAGGACUUUGAGUUCCUAUCCUGUGACAGCCCAAAUCUCAGUUCAGUUCCUUUUCCAGCCAUCCAAUUUGUUACCACCUUAAGUCCUUAAUAGGAUAUAGCAGUGUCGUGGUCGCUGGUCAGUGAUUAGUGAUUACAGUGAAACUCUUCUUCAUUAGUAUGCAGUUGAUGACAUGUAGUUGUAGUUUUUACUUUUUAUUGCAUAGGUGUAUAUGAUGAACCAAAACCAUUAUUACUUGUAGGGAAGGAAAUUGGUCUGGUGAUAUAUCUAAUAUCUGAUAUAGUUUCCGCGACCAUCAACAUGAGAAACGGUAAUUGGAAUGAACUAGAUGAAAUGGGGAUGAAGAUUCUAAUGGUUGAAUUUGUUUUAUGUUUUGGCAGGUAUAAACAGAGAGUUUCUAUGACCAUUUUCAGCUACCUUGUCUGACAAGGUGGUACUGACGGUGAGCUUAACCAUAUUGACCCGAGCCCAACCCGACAUUAAAUCCAAUUUAAGCCCAAACUUUACUGAGCCCGGGGUUCGAGCGUUUAGCUUUGCCCCAGUGCUGGACCCACACUGUUUAAAAAGUUGCUAAUCUGUAUUAUCUACCCAAAAUACCCUCCAAUUUGGUCAAAGGUCAUAGUUGUGAGUUGUGACCUCUCUUCAAAUAAAUUGACCCACUAGAUGGCUUUAAGCCACUGUGUGAAUGUGCACACCCUAAUGCGUGUGAACAAAAAAUAAUAAAUUUAUUUAUACUUAAUAAAAUAAAAUAAAAAAAUCUAUUUAAAUUAUAGUAGGUUCCACUUUUUUUGAAAUUAUUUUUUUGCCCUUUACAUUGUAGUAUACAAACCUAUUACAUAAGGGGUAAAAUCAAAACUUUGGAAAUAAACACGCUAUCUUAUAUAAAUUAUAAUAGAUCCCACUUUUAUAAAAAUUAUUUUUUUACCUUUUUUAUUGUAGUAUACAACUCUUAAUACAUUAGGAUAAAAUCGAAAAUAUGGAAAUAAAAUCAGAACUUAGGGGUAAAAUCGGAAGUGGGAAAAUAAAAUUGAAACUUAGGGGUAAAAUUAGAACUAUGAAAAUAAAAUUAAAAUUUAGGGAUAAAAUCGGAACUGUUUAUAAAAGAUAGGGGUAUAAUCGAAACUUUAAUAAGAGGUAGGGUAUAAUCAAAACUAUUUAUAAGAGAUAGGGGUAUAAUUGGAACUAUUUAUAAGAGAUAGGGGUAUAAUCAGAAUUUUAAUAAAAGAUAGGGUAUAAUCAAAACUAUUUAUAAAAGAUAAGGGUAUAAUCGUAACUGUGUAUAAGAGAUAGGGGUAUAAUCGGAACUGUACAUGAGAGACACGUCAGGUCUCAUGAACGAACUCGAGAAGGAGGCGCCUUAGAAAAUAGUUUAAAUAUCCCGUGAUAUUUUUAAACAGUGUUUCUAGAUAAAUAAUUAGUUGUGGGAUCCACUUUUGCUCGUCGUCAGCCAUUAUUCUGCUCCAUUAUUUUUCUAAGAUAAGCUUUUACUUAUUUUAAACUUGAAAGUUCAAAGUUUCAAACAUGGACAAAAGCUUUUACUUAUUUUAAACUUGAAAGUUCAAAGUUUCAAACAUGGACAAAAGCUUUUACUUAUUUUAAACUUGAAAGUUCAAAGUUUCAAACAUGGACAAAUUUAUAUAUCUCAGAAUCAUGACUACAUGCAUUUUUGACCAUUUUUUAAUUAAAAAUAAUUAUUAUUGUCGUCGGGGUAUUUUGGUCAAUGUAUCAUUGGUUUUUAACUAUAAAUCAUUCCCUCCUGUUCUUUUAAAGUCACUCACAUCAACAUUUCUAUUUCCAUUCCAUUAUCAAAGGAAUAAGAAAAUAUCAGUGUGAUUUGAAAUUUUAGUGAAAAAAUAUGGCUGAGAAGAGUAAGAUUUUGUCGAUCGGAGGAACCGGUUACAUCGGAAAACAUAUAGUACAAGCAAGUAUUAAAGCAGGACAUCCAACCUAUCUUUUUGUUAGAGAAAGCUCAGUUUCUGAUCCUGUUAAAGGAAAACUCAUUGAAAGCUUCACUAACUCCGGCGUCACUCUGCUCUAUGUAUGAAACAAUUUUUUCUUUAUCGCUUUUAAGGAUUACUUGAUUUAUUUGAAUUUAAGAAUUAUUGGAAUUUUUGUGAUUACAGGGUGAUCUUCAUGAUCACGAGAGUUUGGUGAAGGCCAUCAAGCAAGUUGAUGUUGUGAUCUCGACUGUAGGUCAUGGUCAAUUAGGUGAUCAGGGGAAGAUUAUCGCCGCCAUUAAAGAAGCUGGAAAUGUUAAGGUAUAUUACUAUAUUUCUUUAAUAAAAUUAAAGUUAUUAUCCCAAACGAAUCUUGAUCUAUUAGAACUAAUUACAUGGAAUAAUUAGAAUAGAUAUUUUGGAAUUUGGAUCUGAUCCGUACAUAUUAUCUUUAAGGAAUUAGAAUCUAAUUGAUCAAGUGAAUUAUAGUAAUUUUAGUAAAACAGAAUUGCUCGCAACUUUUUAUGUGUAUAUGAAUUUUCCAGAUUGACUGAUAUCUGUUGGAUAGUAAUAGUCAUUUUACUGACUUAAUAAACCUGUUUUGUUUGUUUUCUUCUUCUAGAGAUACUUCCCUUCAGAGUUUGGAAAUGAUAUCGAUCGUAGUACUGCCGUUGAUCCAGCAAAGACUAUGUUCGCCAUAAAGGCUCAAUUUCGUCGAAGUAUUGAAGCUGAAGGAAUUCCCUACACUUAUGUCUGCUCAAAUGGUUUCGCAGGAGUUUUUCUCCCUAAUUUGGCACAGAUUGGACCCACAACUCCUCCCAGAGACAAAGUUGUCAUCCUAGGGGAUGGAAAUGCUAAAGGUAUUUCAUUUCCAUAUGUUAUUUGAUUUCCAAAAUUUCCACUUGUAUGGCAUAUUGCUAAUCAUUAUAUUAAAGAAGUCCAUCAUAUUGUUAUAUCAAUUACCUUGAUUCUGAAAAGUUAUACUUAUGUUUUGCUAGUCUAUUUUUCCGAAGUCCAUAUAGUGGAUGAUUUGAGAACAUACACCAUUAUAGGAUUGGCAAUAGUACGCUAUUGUGGAUCAGUGAUGUGUGACAUGCACUAUAUUGGCAUAAUAGCAGUACUAGCCCUUUUACUGUACUUGGUAAAUCAUAAACUCAUAGUAAAGGCAUUGUGUAUAGGAUGUAUAUGAGUAUAUCACUGUGUAAAACUUACAUUAUGCUGCAGAGCUCAAGUCAAUUGUAACCUGCAUAAAUAACAUUUUUAUCUUUGUGUCUUUCUAUUUUCAGCGGUACUUAACCAAGAAGAUGACGUCGCAACAUACACCAUCAAAGCAGUAGAUGAUCCAAGGACCUUGAACAAGAUUUUCUACAUCAAACCCCCUAGCAACACCCUCUCA
Molecule: long non-coding RNA, 6823 nt
Filed under: Aquilegia coerulea
Lineage: Eukaryota; Viridiplantae; Streptophyta; Magnoliopsida; Ranunculales; Ranunculaceae
Description: long non-coding RNA (ACOE_LNC000904)
Source: RNAcentral